RNAcentral lists this ribosomal RNA (2904 nucleotides) under Escherichia coli DEC12B. Its description in RNAcentral is "bacterial LSU rRNA". It matches the Rfam family "Bacterial large subunit ribosomal RNA". Lineage: Bacteria; Pseudomonadati; Pseudomonadota; Gammaproteobacteria; Enterobacterales; Enterobacteriaceae. The record is from RNAcentral.
UUAAGCGACUAAGCGUACACGGUGGAUGCCCUGGCAGUCAGAGGCGAUGAAGGACGUGCUAAUCUGCGAUAAGCGUCGGUAAGGUGAUAUGAACCGUUAUAACCGGCGAUUUCCGAAUGGGGAAACCCAGUGUGAUUCGUCACACUAUCGUUAACUGAAUCCAUAGGUUAAUGAGGCGAACCGGGGGAACUGAAACAUCUAAGUACCCCGAGGAAAAGAAAUCAACCGAGAUUCCCCCAGUAGCGGCGAGCGAACGGGGAGCAGCCCAGAGCCUGAAUCAGUGUGUGUGUUAGUGGAAGCGUCUGGAAAGGCGCGCGAUACAGGGUGACAGCCCCGUACACAAAAAUGCACAUGCUGUGAGCUCGAUGAGUAGGGCGGGACACGUGGUAUCCUGUCUGAAUAUGGGGGGACCAUCCUCCAAGGCUAAAUACUCCUGACUGACCGAUAGUGAACCAGUACCGUGAGGGAAAGGCGAAAGAACCCCGGCGAGGGGAGUGAAAAAGAACCUGAAACCGUGUACGUACAAGCAGUGGGAGCACAGAGCAAUCUGUGUGACUGCGUACCUUUUGUAUAAUGGGUCAGCGACUUAUAUUCUGUAGCAAGGUUAACCGAAUAGGGGAGCCGAAGGGAAACCGAGUCUUAACUGGGCGUUAAGUUGCAGGGUAUAGACCCGAAACCCGGUGAUCUAGCCAUGGGCAGGUUGAAGGUUGGGUAACACUAACUGGAGGACCGAACCGACUAAUGUUGAAAAAUUAGCGGAUGACUUGUGGCUGGGGGUGAAAGGCCAAUCAAACCGGGAGAUAGCUGGUUCUCCCCGAAAGCUAUUUAGGUAGCGCCUCGUGAAUUCAUCUCCGGGGGUAGAGCACUGUUUCGGCAAGGGGGUCAUCCCGACUUACCAACCCGAUGCAAACUGCGAAUACCGGAGAAUGUUAUCACGGGAGACACACGGCGGGUGCUAACGUCCGUCGUGAAGAGGGAAACAACCCAGACCGCCAGCUAAGGUCCCAAAGUCAUGGUUAAGUGGGAAACGAUGUGGGAAGGCCCAGACAGCCAGGAUGUUGGCUUAGAAGCAGCCAUCAUUUAAAGAAAGCGUAAUAGCUCACUGGUCGAGUCGGCCUGCGCGGAAGAUGUAACGGGGCUAAACCAUGCACCGAAGCUGCGGCAGCGACGCUGAUGCGUUGUUGGGUAGGGAAGCGUUCUGUAAGCCUGCGAAGGUGUGCUGUGAGGCAUGCUGGAGGUAUCAGAAGUGCGAAUGCUGACAUAAGUAACGAUAAAGCGGGUGAAAAGCCCGCUCGCCGGAAGACCAAGGGUUCCUGUCCAACGUUAAUCGGGGCAGGGUGAGUCGACCCCUAAGGCGAGGCCGAAAGGCGUAGUCGAUGGGAAACAGGUUAAUAUUCCUGUACUUGGUGUUACUGCGAAGGGGGGACGGAGAAGGCUAUGUUGGCCGGGCGACGGUUGUCCCGGUUUAAGCGUGUAGGCUGGUUUUCCAGGUCAAAUCCGGAAAUUCAAGGCUGAGGCGUGAUGACGAGGCACUACGGUGCUGAAGCAACAAAUGCCCUGCUUCCAGGAAAAGCCUCUAAGCAUCAGGUAACAUCAAAUCGUACCCCAAACCGACACAGGUGGUCAGGUAGAGAAUACCAAGGCGCUUGAGAGAACUCGGGUGAAGGAACUAGGCAAAAUGGUGCCGUAACUUCGGGAGAAGGCACGCUGAUAUGUAGGUGAAGUCCCUCGCGGAUGGAGCUGAAAUCAGUCGAAGAUACCAGCUGGCUGCAACUGUUUAUUAAAAACACAGCACUGUGCAAACACGAAAGUGGACGUAUACGGUGUGACGCCUGCCCGGUGCCGGAAGGUUAAUUGAUGGGGUCAGCGCAAGCGAAGCUCUUGAUCGAAGCCCCGGUAAACGGCGGCCGUAACUAUAACGGUCCUAAGGUAGCGAAAUUCCUUGUCGGGUAAGUUCCGACCUGCACGAAUGGCGUAAUGAUGGCCAGGCUGUCUCCACCCGAGACUCAGUGAAAUUGAACUCGCUGUGAAGAUGCAGUGUACCCGCGGCAAGACGGAAAGACCCCGUGAACCUUUACUAUAGCUUGACACUGAACAUUGAGCCUUGAUGUGUAGGAUAGGUGGGAGGCUUUGAAGUGUGGACGCCAGUCUGCAUGGAGCCGGCCUUGAAAUACCACCCUUUAAUGUUUGAUGUUCUAACGUUGACCCGUAAUCCGGGUUGCGGACAGUGUCUGGUGGGUAGUUUGACUGGGGCGGUCUCCUCCUAAAGAGUAACGGAGGAGCACGAAGGUUGGCUAAUCCUGGUCGGACAUCAGGAGGUUAGUGCAAUGGCAUAAGCCAGCUUGACUGCGAGCGUGACGGCGCGAGCAGGUGCGAAAGCAGGUCAUAGUGAUCCGGUGGUUCUGAAUGGAAGGGCCAUCGCUCAACGGAUAAAAGGUACUCCGGGGAUAACAGGCUGAUACCGCCCAAGAGUUCAUAUCGACGGCGGUGUUUGGCACCUCGAUGUCGGCUCAUCACAUCCUGGGGCUGAAGUAGGUCCCAAGGGUAUGGCUGUUCGCCAUUUAAAGUGGUACGCGAGCUGGGUUUAGAACGUCGUGAGACAGUUCGGUCCCUAUCUGCCGUGGGCGCUGGAGAACUGAGGGGGGCUGCUCCUAGUACGAGAGGACCGGAGUGGACGCAUCACUGGUGUUCGGGUUGUCAUGCCAAUGGCACUGCCCGGUAGCUAAAUGCGGAAGAGAUAAGUGCUGAAAGCAUCUAAGCACGAAACUUGCCCCGAGAUGAGUUCUCCCUGACUCCUUGAGAGUCCUGAAGGAACGUUGAAGACGACGACGUUGAUAGGCCGGGUGUGUAAGCGCAGCGAUGCGUUGAGCUAACCGGUACUAAUGAACCGUGAGGCUUAACCUU